CCUACGGGUGGCAGCAGUGGGGAAUAUUGCACAAUGGGGGAAAGCCUGAUGCAGCGACGCCGCGUGAGUGAAGAAGUAAUUCGGUAUGUAAAGCACUAUCAGCGGGGAAGAAAAUGACGGUACCUGAGUAAGAAGCCCCGGCUAACUACGUGCCAGCAGCCGCGGUAAUACGUAGGGGGAAAGCGUUAGGCGGAUUUACUGGGUGGAAAGGGAGCGGAGACGGCAGUGCAAGUCUGGAGUGAAAGGCGGGGGCUCAACCUCCGGACUGCUCUGGAAACUGUAUGGCUGGAGUGCAGGAGAGGUAAGUGGAAUUCCUAGUGUAGCGGUGAAAUGCGUAGAUAUGAGGAGGAACACCAGUGGCGAAGGCGGCUUACUGGACUGUAACUGACGUUGAGGCUCGAAAGCGUGGGGAGCAAACAGGAUUAGAUACCCCGGUAGUC
RNAcentral lists this ribosomal RNA (440 nucleotides) under uncultured bacterium. RNAcentral's name for it is "partial 16S ribosomal RNA". It matches the Rfam family "Bacterial small subunit ribosomal RNA", at positions 338 to 795 of the family's 1533-position model. The record is from RNAcentral.